AGAGUUUGAUUCGUGUCUUCAGAUUGAAACGCUGGCGGCAGCCNUUAACACAUGCAAGUCGAGCGGUAACAGAACUAGCUUGCUAGUUGCUGACGAGCGGCGGACGGGUGCGUAACACGUAGGAAUCUGCCCAGUAGUGGGGGAUAGCCCGGAGAAAUUCGGAUUAAUACCGCAUACGCCCUAAGGGGGAAAGCAGGGGAUCUUCGGACCUUGCGCUACUGGAUGAGCCUGCGUCGGAUUAGCUUGUUGGUGGGGUAAAGGCCUACCAAGGCAACGAUCCGUAGCUGAUCUGAGAGGAUGAUCAGCCACACUGGGACUGAGACACGGCCCAGACUCCUACGGGAGGCAGCAGUGGGGAAUAUUGCACAAUGGGCGAAAGCCUGAUGCAGCCAUGCCGCGUGUGUGAAGAAGGCUCUAGGGUUGUAAAGCACUUUCAGCGAGGAGGAAAGGUUGACGAUUAAUACUCGUUAGCUGUGACGUUACUCGCAGAAGAAGCACCGGCUAACUCCGUGCCAGCAGCCGCGGUAAUA
Molecule: ribosomal RNA, 530 nt
Filed under: uncultured Spongiobacter sp.
Lineage: Bacteria; Pseudomonadati; Pseudomonadota; Gammaproteobacteria
Description: bacterial SSU rRNA
Rfam family: Bacterial small subunit ribosomal RNA
Source: RNAcentral